This 493-nucleotide ribosomal RNA is filed under the name uncultured bacterium. RNAcentral's name for it is "bacterial SSU rRNA". It matches the Rfam family "Bacterial small subunit ribosomal RNA", at positions 338 to 849 of the family's 1533-position model. The record is from RNAcentral.
CCUACGGGAGGCAGCAGUGGGGAAUCUUGCGCAAUGGGCGAAAGCCUGACGCAGCCAUGCCGCGUGAAUGAUGAAGGUCUUAGGAUUGUAAAAUUCUUUCACCGAGGACGAUAAUGACGGUACUCGGAGAAGAAGCCCCGGCUAACUUCGUGCCAGCAGCCGCGGUAAUACGAAGGGGGCUAGCGUUGCUCGGAAUUACUGGGCGUAAAGGGAGCGUAGGCGGAUAGUUUAGUCAGGGGUGAAAGCCCAGGGCUCAACCUUGGAAUUGCCUUUGAUACUGGCUAUCUUGAGUACGGAAGAGGUAUGUGGAACUCCGAGUGUAGAGGUGAAAUUCGUAGAUAUUCGGAAGAACACCAGUGGCGAAGGCGACAUACUGGUCCGUUACUGACGCUGAGGCUCGAAAGCGUGGGGAGCAAACAGGAUUAGAUACCCUGGUAGUCCACGCUGUAAACGAUGAGUGNUAGUUGUCGGCAUGCAUGCAUGUCGGUGACGC